ACAAACAAACCCCCCAAAAAAACAGAAGAAAGUUGUUUUACACACGUAUUGCUUUGCUCAUGUACUGCUUUACAUACAUCAUACAUCGACUUAAAAAACUAAAACUAGAAAAACUACUCUUUUUUCAAAAAGUCUAAAUACAUGAAAAACACCUUAUAACAUACCGUAAUCCGAUCCCUGUUGCUGUUGGGUACCAUCCGAUGAAGUGCUGGCCGUGGUAUGCAUAAUUCAGGUUCUGUCUAUCUAAUUGUCUGUAGACCGAUAAACUCAGGCUGUGUGCUGACCCAUAAGCAUCUAAGCAGAAAUAUAAUUUCUUUGUCUUUUUUUUUCUUCAUCCUCUCCACACCUGUUCAAACCGUAUUUCUUGUUUUGUGAUUUAAUGAAUUAUCUGGUACAUGUGUUUAGCCGCAUAGCGAUCUGUUUGUGACAGACAUCAGGACGCCAGUACAAUCAGGGGAGAUGUCAGACCGGUGACACAGGAGGAAGGGCGAGUAACCUGAAACAAGAGGAGAGUUCAUUUUCAACAAAAAAUAGGAAAUUCGCAAGACAAAACCCCAAGACAGGACAUCCCUCACCACAGUGUGACACUUCAAGGGACAGGCCAGAUAAUCACUCAGAUGUAUGACCAUGUCAGAACCUUCAAACAAAAGCUGCAGUUGCUUAGCAGACAUCUGUCAACAGAUGCAGUCAGUGAGGAGCUUCAAAUGGAACUUUUGGAACUUCAGUCUGAUUCCAACAUCUGUAGCAAGUUCAGAGAGCUUCCCUUACCGGACUUCUACAGAUGUGUUCCUGCACACAGAUAUGGCAAGAUCCACAAACAUGCACAGGUGAUGUUGUCCCUCUUUGGAAGUACCUAUGUCUGUGAGCAGGCUUUCAGCCUGAUGAAUCUCAAUGAGUCCAAACUGAGAAAUGCUUUAUCUGACUCUCACCUACAUGACAUUCUCACUCUGUCAGUUGGUCAGCUGGAGCCUGAUAUUGAAAAACCAAGGACAGGCUUCAUGUCUCGCGCUGACAGCCCCAAGUCAGGCACAGAGUGUGUAGGCCUAGGCCUCCAAUGUGUCACCUUGGAGUAUGUUCUGCUCUGUAUGAUAAAUAAUAAUUUCAACGUACAGUAAGUACUGUACACUGUAAGACCGAAUAGUAAAAAUUCAUUAAAAAGAAUAAGUUGUAUUAACUCAGGAAUUUAAAAAAGUUAAUUCACCUCUAAUCUUUUGAGUUAUUAGAACAUAUUUUCAUUUUUAAGUGCACAUAACACAAAAGAUUUAAUUCUGUUUUGUCACUGUAUUUAAAUCAUUUGACUGACUGGUCCUUUAGUCUGUGUGACGUCACUUCCGCUGAACGGUAAAUUCUGCCGAAGUAACGGCCCGCUUUGGAUCAGGGGACGUCAGCAGCAGUUUUGCUGGUCGUGAAUGUGGACAUGUGAUGAAAAAAUAUAGUUUUCGUCUUUCAUGGUUGGACCUGUUCAUCUGUACUUUUUCUGAGUGCUCCUCUCUGGUGAGUUGAAUUAUUUUUCGUUUUGCCUUUGUGUUCAGCUAAUGAUUUGUUGUAUUUUUCACAUGAAAGCUGUUAAAUUAACCAUUUGCAUUCAAUAUUUUUUAAGCUAACGUUUUUUUCCUCUGUCGCACUGGCAUGACUUUUAACUUCAUGUGCUAAAGUAGUUUAAAAGUCGAAUAAAAUUGUAUUUAUUGCUUAUAAAUUUAUAACUAAAGUGGAAAGUUAGUGUGUUAUAAGUUCUUUGCUAAUUCCACAAUGAUAUUGGCAUGUUGAUAGCUGACUCAUAAGCAUCUUAUACAGACUUCAGAGGGUACAGGGAAAAAAACAGUUCCCUUUAUUCUUCAGAGCAAUGCUCUGUAACUAAAUAGUGACUAGCUUGUGACUUAUUUUUGUUCGUCUUUAGUUAUUUGUAUGAUUCUGUCUCUAAUAUUUUAUGUAAAUGUUCUCUCUUUUAGCCUAAACUGAGGAAGCAAGCUGUUCAACCGUGUCCACAACCUGGAAAUGGCAGCUCAAAAUCUCCUUCUUCAUGUGCAUACUUCGACCGACACGUCAGGAAGAUGACAUUACCUUCACGUCCAGAAUCUGUAGAUGAGCUGAAAACCAAGAUAAAAGACAGAUUGACAAAACGUCAAUCUGAAAAAGCAUUUCUAUGCUGAGCUGGAUCGACACGCUCCUCGUCUACAGAGUUUGUUUAGAAAAAAAGCUGCGCGCACAGGGAAAAUAGUUGAAGCUCUUGAUCGGCUCUUCAGCACUUGUGAUCUUAAGGAACAAGUUGACAUCCAUGGAAGACGUUCAGUUGUUCUUCGCGCUCUUCCUCAUUAUCUGUGCGACGAUGACUCCAAGUUCCCGAAGACAUGGGAUCCUGUGGAGUCCCCAGAAGUGGAUGCUGAUGACGUACCAGUGGGUAUCGCAUUGAUCUCUUCCAACUCAACUGAUGCCACUUUUCUUCUCCCAGAAAGGGUUGCAGUGAUCAUUGAGGGUAAUUUAGUGAUCGACUUGCCUACAUUGGCUGAUGGGUACAUUGUCCUUUUUGGACUGAUGUAUGCGCUACAUUUACAGUAUCCUAAAGAAUUGGCCAAUACUUUUGACUUCAUCCAGAAAGUCUUGAUGGGCCUGGAAGAUGGAAAGUUCAAGCCCAGAGUGUUGAGCCUUAAAAAUGACCUUUUGGCAGUGGAGUAAUCUUGGUCUUGCAAAGUUGAUGCACUUGAGCAGCAUAUUAUAGGCAUAGGCAACUAAAAGAACUUAUUGUUUUGACUGUGUUAUUGUUCACCUGCAAGUUGGACAAGUUUUAAAUUGUAAAUUUUGUAUUAGCAUGGCUAUGGUGUUGACAAAAUUGUGCCAUGCAUUUGUAGGUGUAUUUGGUCUACACUAAGUAAAGAAUGUCCUCAGGCCAUUUCCUUUGGACUUUGCACAGUUUUUGUAAACACUGUUUUGUAAGGCUGUUUGUUCUUACUGAAAGGAAGGAAGUUACUGAAGUAUACAAUACACUAUGCAAUAUGAAUGCUUUUUCUGUAUGAUAAUGUGAUGUUGUACUUCACCAAUCCAUGAAAACACAGCCAUAAUGGGUUUGUUUGUUUGUUUGUUUUUUUGUUUUUAUGGCCAUGUUUAUCAGUAAAAUACACUGAAAAAAAAAUUCUGUU
This is a long non-coding RNA of Acanthopagrus latus (yellowfin seabream), 3134 nucleotides long. RefSeq lists it as uncharacterized. The record is from RefSeq and is a predicted model, not a curated record. Lineage: Eukaryota; Metazoa; Chordata; Actinopteri; Spariformes; Sparidae. The transcript has 5 exons.